AUUGAACGCUGGCGGAAUGCUUUACACAUGCAAGUCGAACGGCAGCACGGACUUCGGUCUGGUGGCGAGUGGCGAACGGGUGAGUAACAUAUCGGAACGUAUCCAAUAAUGGGGGAUAACGAGUCGAAAGAUUCGCUAAUACCGCAUACGACCUACGGGGGAAAGCUGGGGACCUUCGGGCCUGGCGUUAAUGGAGCGGCCGAUAUCUGAUUAGCUAGUUGGUGAGGUAAAGGCUCACCAAGGCGACGAUCAGUAGCUGGUCUGAGGGGACGACCAGCCACACUGGAACUGAGACACGGUCCAGACUCCUACGGGAGGCAGCAGUGGGGAAUUUUGGACAAUGGGCGCAAGCCUGAUCCAGCCAUUCCGCGUGAGUGAAGAAGGCCUUCGGGUUGUAAAGCUCUUUCGCAAGGGAAGAAAACUUAGCCACUAACAUUGGUUGAGGUUGACGGUACCUUGAUAAGAAGCACCGGCUAACUACGUGCCAGCCGCCGCCGUAA
Molecule: ribosomal RNA, 500 nt
Filed under: uncultured bacterium
Lineage: Bacteria
Description: partial 16S ribosomal RNA
Rfam family: Bacterial small subunit ribosomal RNA
Source: RNAcentral